Molecule: long non-coding RNA, 274 nt
Filed under: Brassica napus (rape)
Lineage: Eukaryota; Viridiplantae; Streptophyta; Magnoliopsida; Brassicales; Brassicaceae
Description: long non-coding RNA (BNAP_LNC020121)
Source: RNAcentral
GUUCAGAUACGUUUUGAAAAACUUUGGUGACUAUGAAGCUUUUUGAGGUGCAGAACCGCAAAGACGCAUCAGAUGUUUAGCUAUGGAUGAAGAUAUUCACACGGUGCGAUUGAGCCCAUCGUUUGACAUAAGAUAGAACUUUGAGUUAAAUUUCCAAUGCUACCAGUUUGAGGUCAAUCAGCAUCCUACAACAGAAGUUAUGCCUGAUUUACUGGAGUGGUAUACAUGCCUCGCAAGAGGAAGAUGUCGAAGAUAUGGAGGAGUGUCGAUCGAC